This 253-nucleotide ribosomal RNA is filed under the name uncultured bacterium. RNAcentral describes it as "partial 16S ribosomal RNA". It matches the Rfam family "Bacterial small subunit ribosomal RNA", at positions 524 to 776 of the family's 1533-position model. The record is from RNAcentral.
UACGUAGGGUGCAAGCGUUGUCCGGAAUUAUUGGGCGUAAAGAGCUCGUAGGCGGUUUGUCGCGUCGAAUGUGAAAACCCGGGGCUCAACUCCGGGCCUGCAUUCGAUACGGGCAGACUAGAGUUCGGUAGGGGAGUCUGGAAUUCCUGGUGUAGCGGUGAAAUGCGCAGAUAUCAGGAGGAACACCGGUGGCGAAGGCGGGACUCUGGGCCGAUACUGACGCUGAGGAGCGAAAGCGUGGGGAGCGAACAGG